This 367-nucleotide ribosomal RNA is filed under the name Pseudagrion microcephalum. Its description in RNAcentral is "partial small subunit ribosomal RNA". The record is from RNAcentral. Lineage: Eukaryota; Metazoa; Arthropoda; Insecta; Odonata; Coenagrionidae.
UAGAUACCCUAUUAUAUUUAGUGUUAAUGAUUCACCUGGGUAGUAUUAGUUAUGUUCUUGAAACCCAAAGAAUUUGGCGGUAUUUUAGUCUUUUUAGAGGAACCUGUUCUGUAAUCGAUAUUCCACGAUUUUAUUAACUUAUCCUUGUUUUCAGCUUUUAUAUCUCCGUCAUAAGAAUAUUUUUUUAGAAUGAAUUUUCUUAAUUGUCUAAUACAAUUAUGUCAGGUCAAGGUGAAGCUAAUGGUUAAGUAGAAAUGGGUUACAAUAAAUUUAUUUAUACGGAUUAUUUACUUUUUAUUGGGUAUGAAGGUGGAUUUAAAAGUAAAUUUAAUUAAUUAAUUUUUUUGAUUUUAGCUCUAAAAUAUGU